Molecule: ribosomal RNA, 482 nt
Filed under: uncultured bacterium
Lineage: Bacteria
Description: partial 16S ribosomal RNA
Rfam family: Bacterial small subunit ribosomal RNA
Source: RNAcentral
AUUGAACGCUGGCGGCAUGCCUUACACAUGCAAGUCGAACGGUAACGGGCCUUCGGGUGCCGACGAGUGGCGAACGGGUGAGUAAUACAUCGGAACGUGCCCGAUCGUGGGGGAUAACGAGGCGAAAGCUUUGCUAAUACCGCAUACGAUCUACGGAUGAAAGCAGGGGACCGCAAGGCCUUGCGCGGACGGAGCGGCCGAUGGCAGAUUAGGUAGUUGGUGGGAUAAAAGCUUACCAAGCCGACGAUCUGUAGCUGGUCUGAGAGGAUGAUCAGCCACACUGGGACUGAGACACGGCCCAGACUCCUACGGGAGGCAGCAGUGGGGAAUUUUGGACAAUGGGCGCAAGCCUGAUCCAGCCAUGCCGCGUGCAAGAUGAAGGCCUUCGGUUUGUAAACUGCUUUUGUACGGAACGAAAAGCCUUCUUUUAAUACAGGAGGGUCAUGACGGUACCGUAAGAAUAAGCACCGGCUAACUACGUG